UGAUUGCAAAGCAUUAAAUUUCGGUAGU
This 28-nucleotide non-coding RNA is filed under the name Bombyx mori (domestic silkworm). The record is from RNAcentral. RNAcentral also lists the same sequence under 1 other name. Lineage: Eukaryota; Metazoa; Arthropoda; Insecta; Lepidoptera; Bombycidae.